This 622-nucleotide long non-coding RNA is filed under the name Bos taurus (domestic cattle). RNAcentral's name for it is "long non-coding RNA NONBTAT022649". The record is from RNAcentral. Lineage: Eukaryota; Metazoa; Chordata; Mammalia; Artiodactyla; Bovidae.
CAAAAUAACCUCUGGAAAAUCCCUGAUUUUUCAAGUUGAAGGAGUUAGCUACUAGAAAAUUAACUCAUUUCAUUUGGGAUCUAUUACAGUCCUAUCAGGCAUCUCUGAGGCUUAGGUUCAGUGUUUAGGAGUGAUCUUACUAAGGUUGAUGCCAAGAUCUUUUGUAGGUAAGUAGGAUUUUAUUACAGUUGAUUUAUUCUGAUGAAACGGGCCUAGAUAAACUGGAGCAACUACUUACUCCAGUGAGAGCUGUCCUAUGGGAUUGACUCAUUGCUUUGGUUGCCUUUGAACCAAGACAUUUGAUACAUAGAAGUUCUUGGGCAAUUCAGAGGGACCAAAAGAGGGUGUGUCAGUGAAGACUAAAAUAUAGCAUAAUUCCAGUAUUUUUCAUUAUCAGGAAAGCCUUCUCAUGGCCUUUAUGUUGAAUGGCUUAUGUGUCACAUAUUGCUCUCAUUAUGUAGUGACAUUUCUAUUAAAGGCAUAUGGCUGUCAGAACAUGUACAGUGAUACUCGGCAUUAUAACAUCAAUUUAUUGAUGCCAGGUAAAAUAAAAAAAGCAAGUAUUUCCAUUAGCUCUUACACAUAUUUUAAUGUGAUUUUUUUCAAUCAAAAAUUUUAAACA